This is a long non-coding RNA of Musa acuminata AAA Group (dessert banana), 612 nucleotides long. RefSeq lists it as uncharacterized. NCBI's taxonomy places the organism in Eukaryota, Viridiplantae, Streptophyta, Magnoliopsida, Zingiberales, Musaceae. The transcript has 3 exons. The record is from RefSeq and is a predicted model, not a curated record.
CAGGACAGAGAGCAGCAACCGGUGGUUCGAUCUCGGGUUAGGUUUCGACGACGGAGGCUACGUGCAGUGUCCACCGGGAGACGAAGCCCGUAAGAUCCCACCUGUCCUCCACGCCGUGCGUCCGGAACCUCCACCGGUUUAUGAGUGCGUCGAGUUUAGGUUUUGUUACUGGUGGAGACCUGACUGGAUCAGGAUGUUGGUGAUAGUUGAAGCUGUGAAGGUGAAACUGUACAUUGACCAUUAGAUUUCGUUCGUCUUUUGAGGAAUCUGAGCAACAGUGAAUACGGAAGGGCUAGUUACAUCCUUGGGAGAUGUUAUGCUGCUUUAGUGAAAGCAUGGGCUAUCACAGAUUGGCUGCUGACCUUGUUAUUACCAAUUCAAUCUUGGAGGCUGAUUCUAUUCGAGUUCUUCACUCGGUCAAGAUCGGGUUGCUUGGGGCUAUGGACCAUUGUUUACUACUGCUUUGAUUAUUUAAAGACAUAUGUAAAUAUCAUAUUUUUGUCAUGUAUGAAAUGAAGUAAAAAGAGGUAGGAUUUGUCAGCUAAUUUUGGGAUUCUGUCCCUUGGAAGCAUAUGGCUGCCACUGUAAACACUGAUGUAUCUAAAACUUGGU